Drosophila erecta is the source of this 711-nucleotide long non-coding RNA. RefSeq lists it as uncharacterized. The transcript has 2 exons. The record is from RefSeq and is a predicted model, not a curated record. NCBI's taxonomy places the organism in Eukaryota, Metazoa, Arthropoda, Insecta, Diptera, Drosophilidae.
AAUGUGAUUAUAAUUUGCUUAAUCAUAUCGAGGAAUAAGAGAUAUUUCCAAUAAAUGUAUUGCCUUUUCAUAUUUAGCCGUAUGCUAUGUCUGCCGAAACGCCAACAGAUCCGACGCUUUCUGUGAGCAAACGGAGAGCCCGGGGAAAAGAAACUCUAAACCUUUAACUUUCCCUCUUAAUCCAAAAAAAAAUUGACAAAUAUUAAGUAAAGUUGAUUCAUUGGAAGAAAAUGAUUGAUCUUAUGUGUAUAUUGAUAAAGCAACGUAACAAAUUAAGGUCUAUGUUUACAUACAUAUGUACUUAUGUAUAUGUUUCUGUACAUCCCAAAACAUUCCUGCAGUUCCACAAUUCAUAGCUACUAAUAAACCAGAUAGAGGGAAUUCAUUCAGCACAGCGGACUCUCUCGCUCUCUCAUUUCAUUUAAAAAUCCGUAUGCUAUGUCUGCCGAAACGCCAUCAGAGCCGACGCUUUCUGUGAGCAAACGUAGAGCCCGGGGAAAAGAAACUCUAAACCUUUAACUUUCCCUCUUAAUCCAAAAAAAAAUUGGGCUCAAGGCUCCAAAGCUCAGGCAUUACGCACCCCAUAAAUUAAAAAAUUGGUAUGCUUUAGUAACAUUGUAUUAAAUUAAGAAUUUAUCUAAAUUAUUUUGUAUGGGAGGCUCAAACGAAUAUAUUUACAAAAAAUAUAGUAACAUACUUUUGGCAAUCGUA